ACUCAAAGGAAUUGACGGGGGCCCGCACAAGCGGCGGAGCAUGUGGCUUAAUUCGAUGCAACGCGAAGAACCUUACCUGGGUUUGACAUGUACGGAAAUCUGGCAGAGACGUCAGGUCCGCAAGGGUCGUACACAGGUGGUGCAUGGUUGUCGUCAGCUCGUGUCGUGAGAUGUUGGGUUAAGUCCCGCAACGAGCGCAACCCUCGUCCUAUGUUGCCAGCGCGUAAUGGCGGGGACUCAUAGGAGACUGCCGGGGUCAACUCGGAGGAAGGUGGGGGUGACGUCAAAUCAUCAUGCCCCUUAAGUCCAGGGCUGCACACAUGCUACAAUGGCCGAUACAAAGGGCUGCGAUACCGCAAGGUGGAGCGAAUCCCAAAAAGUCGGUCUCAGUUCGGAUUGGGGUCUGCAACUCGACCCCAUGAAGUCGGAGUCGCUAGUAAUCGCAGAUCAGCAACGCUGCGGUGAAUACGUUCCCGGGCCUUGCACACACCGCCCGU
RNAcentral lists this ribosomal RNA (497 nucleotides) under uncultured bacterium. RNAcentral describes it as "partial 16S ribosomal RNA". It matches the Rfam family "Bacterial small subunit ribosomal RNA", at positions 899 to 1397 of the family's 1533-position model. The record is from RNAcentral.